UAUGGUCAAGUUACUAAGAGCAUACGGGGGAUGCCUUGGUGCAGGAAGGCGAUGAAGGACGUGGCUAGCUGCGAUAAGCUCCGGGGAGUCGCUAAACAGACUUUGAUCCGGAGAUUUCCGAAUGGGGAAACCCAUCUCGAUAAACUCGGGAUAUCUUCAUCUGAAUCCAUAGGGUGAGGAGGCGAACCUAGGGAAGUGAACCAUCUCAGUACCUAGAGGAGAAGAAAGCAACCGCGAUUCCCUUAGUAGCGGCGAGCGAAAGGGGAACAGCCUAAACCGCAUACAUGUCAUAGCUCGUGCGCGUUGUGUAUGCGGGGUCAUGGGGCUUAACCUGACUUUGGCACGACUGAGUCAAGGAGUUACAAAAGGCAAUUUUAGCUGAAUACUCUGGAAAGUGUAACCAUAGAAGGUGACAGUCUUGUAAGCGAAAAGAUUGUCUCUCCUGGUUGAGUUCCCAAGUACCACGGGACACGAGGAAUCCUGUGGGAAUUCGGGAGGACCAUCUCCUAAGGCUAAAUACUCUCCUGCGACCGAUAGUGAACCAGUACCGUGAGGGAAAGGUGAAAAGUACCCCUGUUAGGGGAGUGAAAUAGUACCUGAAACCGUAUGCUUACAAGCAGUCGGAGCCUUGAUUCGUCAGGGUGACGGCGUGCCUUUUGCAUAAUGAGCCGGCUAGUUAUUCUAUGCGGCAAGGUUAAUCUUGGAGACAAGAGGAGCCGUAGCGAAAGCGAGUCUGAAUAGGGCGAUCAGUCGUGUGGAAUAGACGCGAAGCUGAGUGAUCUACCCUUGGCCAGGAUGAACUUCGGGUAACACCG
Molecule: ribosomal RNA, 815 nt
Filed under: Gammaproteobacteria bacterium
Lineage: Bacteria; Pseudomonadati; Pseudomonadota; Gammaproteobacteria
Also listed under: 1 other name
Description: partial 23S ribosomal RNA
Rfam family: Bacterial large subunit ribosomal RNA
Source: RNAcentral